RNAcentral lists this long non-coding RNA (2606 nucleotides) under Lupinus angustifolius (narrow-leaved blue lupine). RNAcentral's name for it is "long non-coding RNA (LANG_LNC002006)". Lineage: Eukaryota; Viridiplantae; Streptophyta; Magnoliopsida; Fabales; Fabaceae. The record is from RNAcentral.
AAGAACUGUCAUUAUUUGUUUUUUACAGUACGGACAAUCAAAGUUUUGACCGUGCAUAUCGUCAACGGAUUAAGUGUAUUUUGGUAUUGAUGCUUACACUGUCAUUUAUUUGCAUGAAAAACAUGAUCGUCAACAAUUUGAUUUUUUUUUCUUUUACUUUUGUGCUAAACUAGAGCUGAGUUUGCACUUAAUCCGAAGGAUGUGAACUUGACCAAAAAAGGCUCUUCCCCUGGUAAUGCUGGUGAAUUGUCCAAAUCAGAAAUUAAGGAUAGAAUUAACCGGCUAUAUCAAACACUCACAAAUACGGUACACUUCUCUUUUCUUAAUGGACUGGUGAUAAGUUAUGACAAGCAUCGAUUGCAUAGCAACAAUAGUAAGGCUCAUACAAUUAACUUCAUAUUUUGGUCUCAUUCUCAUUGUCAUGCUGUACAAUAUCUUGAUUUCCAAUAAAAAAUUCAUCCUCAUAGCGAAGAGGCAUAUGACUAAUACUCCUAGUGCAACUUUGGUAGAAGGGAUAUGGACGUACUCUCGAUACUUUGUUCUAAAACCAAUUAAAGAAAUAGAUCAAUUACGUCUGUUGCAUUCAUUUCUAAUACUGCAAUUGAAAAAUAGGCAAAUGUUGAUGCUAUCUAUGUAGGCAAUGGUUUCUAUGUUACCUGAUAAGGGAGAGAAACUACUAAAAAAGAUUGCAGAACUGAAUAUAGAACUUGGAAACCUGAUGACAGAAGAAAAUAGUGUAAUUGAUUUAGAUGAAUUUAGUAGUGAAUUUGAGAGAGUGUUGAAUGCUUAAGCUCAUUAAAUAGAGAAAUUGAUUAAAAGGGGAAGGGUGAGAUAUUUUGAGUACUUCUUUCAUGUUGCCAUUGUGCCGCAGAUACUGAGACACCUUAAGGAGAACAAGCGGUUCUCCAUGUUUCUGCAAAUUUUGAGAACUCGAGUUAUAAAUAGCAGAAAGUCAUAAGCGAAACUAGUUAUUUUGAAGACGAAGCAAUUCUUAACGUAUUAUACAAAUAUGCUUACAAUGAGUUUAGCUUAAUUAUUCCAAAUCACAUUACAUGCUAAGGAGCUACUUCCCCAUCCAGAAAACGGGUACAUUGAUGAGAAAACAUCUGCACCUUUGCUUUUAUAUGUUUCAGUUCUCUUAAAUCCUCCACCCAUAUGCUAUAACUCGAGUUCCUACCUAGAACAUCUUUAGACACCUCCAUAUUUUCAAUUAAUUUCACAGCAUACUUCUCAAAUUUCUCAAUUUCAUCCCACAACACUGCCAACUUGUUUGUGUCCCUCUCACUUCUAACAUUACUCAACCAGUCCCUUGCUUCUUCUACCCUAGCCCAAAAGCAUGAAUCUUGAGUCAAACUUGCAAACUGGCUCCUGUCAUUACUAUUUUCCUCACCACUUCUAACCGUUUUAUCCUUCCACCACUUAUCAAAAAUCUCAUACCUUUUCUCUCUACCAUGCUGCAUGUAAUGACCCUUUUUUAUAUGCAACCCUUUACCAUAAUACUCAGCAAUAUCUAAUGGCUCAACCACUAGCUUAUAGGAAUGUGAAGCAUUGACCCACUUAGCUCGAUUGUUAAAAUCCCGAGGCAGGUCAUUCGUUUCCAACUUGUCAAUCACACCAUUCCAAAACUUGGCAAGUUUUACACGGUUCAUAUUGAUUCUCAUUUCCUUCUUUGAAGAACCCCGGCUCUUGAAUGAGUCAUAAUACCCCAUUUGUUCAUCUUGCUCAUCACACCAACUUUUGUACCAUUCUAUUUGGGCUCUGUAUGGUGCAACCUUGGAUAAGGCAACUGCUAGGCUUGCUGCAUUUAGAGUUGGUGAAGGACCGGUUCUCCUGGCUGUCUUUAGGCAUUCCUUGACAUCCAUUAUAGCUGAGUCUUCCUGUUGUUUACAUCACAUAAUUUGUUUAAUGGAAUCACCUUUUUCCCAUAGAUAAGAAAGUAAUGCCAGCAAUAGACUCUUUCACACACUCUUUUCAGUACAGUUGUUAAAUAUUAUUUGACAAGAUUUAAUGUGCCAUCUACUAAGUAGAGAGAAGAUGCGUGUGAUUUAAUGAGUCUUGCAUAAAGAGUGUGUAAAAAGUGUGUGAUUAGCAUUUGUCUAGAAACUAUAAAUCAUUUGUAGCUAAACAUGAAAUUCGGUUUGUUAUUUUAUUAAUUUAGUUCUAUUUAUAAUGAUGCAAAUAUUGUGCUGAUUUUUGUGGAAAUUUGUGAAAAUUUGGUAAACAAAAUUGUUCUGUUUUCAACGUUUCCUUUAAAAGUUUUGAAUAUAAAAAAUUAAUUAAAAAGCAAUGUAUCAGUCUUAUAAAUAUUAAUGAAAAAUGAUUAAUAGGUUAGAAUUUUGGUGUAUACAAGUUAACAAAAAGGAAGAAAACCUAGAGUCAAGAUCGGGAAAUUACCUGGUUUGCUAUCCCACAAGACUGGAUGGCCAGUUCAAAUCCAGCUUCAUAACUUGAGUCAGGAAUGUUCCUCUGCAUGGAGUUUCUCUGAAGCAAGAAUUGCAUAGACACUUUGUUAACAUAAUCUCCAUACCUCAGAUGGUCCUCAAUACUACAAGCUGGGGAACUUGUUGAAAGCAUCAAUUGCAUCAUCUUUAUAAUUGUGGCUGGAC